ACAGACGCCCCCUCCUGUCUCCCCCGGUUCUCAUCUCUUCUAUUGCCCUGCAUAGGAAUCGUACAUUUAACUGCUCUAGACCCAAGGUCUUCUUACAUCAACCCCUUAACUGCUGUGGACUGCCAGGAAUACUUUAACCCUCUCACUGCCCUAGACCACCAGGUACAUUGACACUGACUUCUUCAGUACCCUUGACCACCAGAGAUACAGUAAUUAAACUCUGACUGUACUAGACCACCAGAGAUAUUAACAUUAACCCUUUCACUGCCCUAGACUACUAGGAAUAUUGGAAAAUCACCAUAACUAUUAGGCCACCCUAAACCACCAGGAAUAUAACCAUCAACCCCUAAGCCACCCUAGACCACCAGGAAUAUAAUAGUCAACCCUUGUCACCCUAGACCACCAGGAAUAUAAUCAUCAACCCCUAAGCCACCCUAGACCACCAGGAAUAUAAUCAUCAACCCCUAAGCCACCCUAGACCACCAGGAAUAUAAUCAUCCACCCUAAACCACCAGGAAUAUAACCAUCAACCCCUAAGCCACCCUAGACCACCAGGAAUAUAAUAGUCAACCCUUGUCACCCUUCACCACCAGGAAUAUAAUCAUCCACCCCUAAGCCACCCUAGACCACCAGAAAUAUAGUCAUCCACCCCUAAGCCACCCUAGACCACCAGGAACAUGUUAGUGUUAACCCAGGACUGCCAUUCCGUGUAUUCAGCCCAUUUACAUCGAUCCAUCUAUGCAGAACAGCUCCUCAGUCUUUCCCGUCUAUAUAACAACAACAACAACAAAAAGACCACUGAUUUUUGGAUGUUAAUGUGCCAAUCUAGGGAAUUACACAGACCCCCUGCUACGAGGACGACGACCCUUUCUUAGCCAAGAUACAAAACAAACUUUUUAGAAACUUUUCUCCAUUCAGGCGGUGAAUGAAAUCGUCGCUUCUGUUUAAAAAAAAAA
Molecule: long non-coding RNA, 956 nt
Organism: Bufo bufo (common toad)
Lineage: Eukaryota; Metazoa; Chordata; Amphibia; Anura; Bufonidae
Exons: 2
Source: RefSeq, a predicted model, not a curated record